Long non-coding RNA from Arabidopsis lyrata subsp. lyrata, 1393 nucleotides. RefSeq lists it as uncharacterized. The transcript has 2 exons. NCBI's taxonomy places the organism in Eukaryota, Viridiplantae, Streptophyta, Magnoliopsida, Brassicales, Brassicaceae. The record is from RefSeq and is a predicted model, not a curated record.
GCACCUCCAAUAAGAGGUUUUAGUGUAAAAAUUCUGGGGUUCUCUUGAUUAAAGAGAAUAAAAAUAAAUCAAAAAGCCUAAUUAUGAAAAGAAUCGAUUCUCUUAAGAGAGUUUUGGGAACAAGAGAGACGCUGACGUGUCACGUUGUAAUUGGCUGAUUAAUUUAACAAGAGAAAAAAAAAGAAGCGUGUGUUUUCAUUUUUUUGUCUUCGUGAAGUCUCAACCGCGUCUCCUGCAACCUCUUCUUCUCUCUCUCUGUUUGGUUUGACCGGAGUUUAUGGUGGAAGUACGAUCAAGAUCACGGCGAACGGAGAGCAAUUGGGUCUAGCAAUUGGUUUCUAUACUCUGUUGUGAUUGAAUCUGAAUCUGGUCUAGCAGAAUUUGAUCCAAGUAGCUCUGGAGUUACCAAUCCUCGUGUUGAUAUUGAUGGGACUGUGAUAUGUUCUAUGCUCUUAAUUUCUGUUCCUGGAAUCGUUAUAGCCUUGUGUGUUAUGUUAUAGGCAUGGAACAUAGGAAUGUGGUGCUUUUGUUUUAGUAGGAAUUGUUAGCUUUUGACUAUUUAGAGUCACAAUCUUUUUUUGAUGAUGUUGUUGGAAGGUUUUUGGUUCUUGUUGUAUCUCUUUAGAAUGUGAAAAAAUUGCAUUGUUCUGUUGUUGAAAUUGUUAGAUUUGGUUUAUGUUUUCGAAUCGUAGGAUCAAACCGAUCAAUAGCUUUGAUGAUUGAAAUCGAUUCUUGCUCUCGUUUUUGUUUGAUCUUUAGCAAUUGUAGCAUUGUUUAUGUGAUUUUUAUGAAUUAGAAACUUUGAAUCAAGAACAAAGCUUAUGAGAUUCUAGUGUUGUGGGUGAUAGUUUCGAAUCGUUGAAAUUCACCUUUGUUUGUUUUCAAGAAAACGAUUUAAUUGACGUCAUAGAAACUCUAGUGAUUCAUGUUGUUUCUUCUCCAUGGUCGUGCUUUGUGAGAUUUGACAGAAGCUAGAUUUAUUUAUUAAGGUUAUGCAUUGACUUUGCUCUCUAUAUGGGUGAAUUUGAUUUAGAUUUCCAAAUACUAAUUCUAUGGUUUGUCAAACGAUUUUCAUCUUUAUCUCUCCAUUUACAUGGCUUAAGCCUCCUGCUGAGCUUGAGAAGAGGAAGCACAAGCUCAAGCGUCUUGUUCAGUUUCCUAAUUCCUUAAGAAUUUUUUAAGCCCCAGGAAUUUCAUGUAAGAAUUUGAUUAGGUUUUUGAAGUGGGCAAUUGAAAAAGAAGAGAUUAAUUUGAUUUAUCUGGAGAAGCUAGGCGGCAUGGGACAAAACCAUUUGCUGAUGUUAUCUUUUGAGAGUGUCAUUUUGAGAGUCAAAUGUAACCCAAAUUUUUAUGUGCAUAUGCAAAGCAUCUUCUUAUGUGAAUGAUUUCUCCA